UAGGUGAAAGAAUGAGCCAUAAGUACAUAAUUUGUUCAAAAUGAUAGAGCAAGUAAGUGGCAAAGUUUGGAAUCUGAAGCUAUGACUGACUCCAGAUAGCGUCAGUUGUAUGAGACCAAACAAAUGUAAUAUGCCAAAAAAUUUAGAAAGUAAUUUAAGAAUGCAUGAAAAAUCAAUAACUAAACUUUUUUUUUAAAUCAGUUCUAUUAUUAUGGUAAGAAAAAUGUCAAAUAUUCUGUUCCAUUUAGCAAUUUAAAAUUUUGGUAUGGUCAUCCAUAUGUUUGGUAAAAGCAGAGGGUAGUAUUUAUUAAACAUAAACAACUAUAAAUAUGUUUAUGUGAGCCUCAUGAUGAUCACAAAGCAAAAAUCUGUAGAAGAUACACAAAAGAUGAGAAAAGAAUGACUGUAUACCAUUACCUAAAAUCAUCAACUCCCAAACGAAGGAAAAGAGAGGAACAAAGAAACUACCAAACAAUCAGAAAAUGAACAAUGAGUAAAAUGGCAAGAGUAAGUCCAUUCCAGGCAAUAAUUAUGGUAAAUGCAAAAGGACUAAAUGCUCCAAUCGAAAGACACAGUGUGGUUGAGUGGGAAAAACAAAUGAACAUACAAACAAAAAACAAGAGUUGGGGGCUGCUGAAAAGAGACUCACUUUAGCUUCAGGACACUCAGAUUGAAAGUGCAGGUAAGGAAAGAGAUAUUUCAUCCAAGUGGAAAGCAAAAGAAAGAGAGGCAGCUAUACUGGCUUCAGUCAAAACAGACCUUAAGCCAAAGACUAUGUGCAUUUUAAAACCAUAUAUAUACUUAUCCUUCUAUUUGUUAUAUUUCUUCAGCUGAAAGUUUCCCUCCCACUCUCCCGCACCCAGUUUUUGAAUCUGAUUACCCCUUAGUGGAUUAGAACUCUGCAUUUUUUUCACGAUUUUGGAUUAUACAUUAACCUUUCCAGUUAACUGAGGCUCCUUGCCAAACAUCCAUGAAAUCUGGAUGAACUAGUUAUUCACAUGUGAGAAAAUAAAAAUGUUCACAUACUAAAAAUGACAUUUAUUAACCAUUUAUAUGGUUCAAAUUAUUUUAUAACAACCAUUUUUAUCCCAAAAUUAAUUAAUUAAUUAAUUUAUUUAUUUUGCUUUUUAGGUCUGCACUGGUAGCAUAUGGAAGUUCCCAGGCUAGGGGUUGAAUCGGACCUACAGCUGCUGGCCUAUGCCACAGCCACAGCAAUGUGGGAUCCAAACCACAUCUCUGACCUACACCACAGCUCAUGGUAAUGCCAGAUCCUCAACCCACUGAGUGAGGCCAGGAAUCAAACCCGCAUCAUCAUCGAUCUCAGGUUCAUUAACAGCUGAACUAUGACGGGAACUCCCAAAAAUUUAUAUUUGGGAAUAUCUGUCACCUUGUUUAAGAAACUCUUAAGUUUUGGAGUUUCUGUCAUGGCUCAGUGGUUCACGAACCCGACUAGGAACCAUGAGGUUGCGGAUUCAAUCCCUGGCCUCGCUCGGUGGGUAAAGGAUCCGGCAUUGCUAUGAGCUGUGGUGUAGGCCAGUGGCUGCAGCUCCAAUUGGACCCCUAGCCUGGGAACCUCCAUAUGCCAUGGGUGUAGCCCUAGAAAAGACAAAAAAAGACAAAAGAAAGAAAGAAAGAAACUCUAAGUUUUAUUGUUUUUAAGAUCUCAAUACCUUGUGUUGAUAAAAUACUUAUGUAAUAUUACAUAAUUAUCUACAAUGAAAUAAUUGGUAGGUGAAACUGGGAAAUACUUCCAUCCCUAAAGUUUAUGUCAUUUCCUAUAGAGAGAGCAAGCCUGAAUAUUAAAUUCUUCCAAAACCUGAUAAGAUUUUUCUAGAAUGGAAAAAAAAAAAAGUGUUCUGUAAGCACUUGGUAAAUCCCUUCGGUGGUGUUCAGCAUUACUCUCUCAAGACACCCAAUUUUAUGAUUCCUAGAGCUGGUGAACAUCCAGAGUGAGGCUUGGCUCUGGAGGUGGACAGCUGUUCAUAUGUCCAUCACCGGUCCCUUGUGUUCACCACCACAGUGUAGGCAACAAACACAUUGCUCCGAUCAGUGUUUAUUUGUGGUGUCAUCAUGGCAGUGCUAAUUCUCACCCUCAGCAGUUGAAAGAGAGAGAGAGGGAGAGAAAGAGAAAAUUUGGUCAUGGGGGCGGGGCACGGGAGGAGGAGGGAAAGAAUAGAACGGGGCUCGUGUAUUUGGCAACACUUACUGACUCUUCGCUACUUGAAUUUUGAAAAUGUUCUUUCAUCCAAAUGCCAAAAGACGUUCCUAGCCAACUCUGGUCCAACUUCGAAUUGGAGACAUGCUUACAAAAACAAGGGAAGGACUUGGAUUUGAAAAACUCCCUCUGAAUAACUAAUUAAUACCUGGUUAUGAAACCCAGGUAUUAACCUGUGCACGUACUUCUAAGGGCACGCACAGUUAAACUUACAUAUGUUGGUAUCCUUGCCCUGGUUCUUCUAGAUUUAAUCUCCCCCCCCCCUUUUUUUUUAGGAGAGACAACAGGAUGAAGAGGAAUUAUCACCGUCAUAGAUGCACAUUAAACAUUUACGAUCUAUAUCCCUGGAUUCCAGUUUCGAUACUGACUCUGUAGCUUCAUUUCUAACCAUCCUUUUCCUCAGUCCUCUAAUCAGACAUGGUUGUGUAAGCCCACAUUUGGUUAUUGCUGUUGAAAGGGUAGCCUUGGAGGAUGGAAAGUGAAGGAGAAUUGUGAGAUUUGAGGAAGUUUCUGCAACGUGUCAGGUGGCUCUUUCAGUAGAGUUCUUCAUGGCUCUUUACGUCCACUGGCUUGAGAGCAUCCUUACUGGGCCCUCAUCUAGAAUUCAAGAUGCUGGUCAAUGGGGUUUCUGUGAUGUAAUUGACCAUUGUCCUUCUUUAGGCUCAAGAAUUUUUCAGAGGUACAUUUUAUACACUAAGGGAGCAGAAUCACAACCAAUGCGUCACCUUUUAACUGUGUGGAUUGAUUGACUGGAUAUUGGUUUCAUUCAUUUUUCAAUAAGCAGUUAGACUCUCUGCAAAUUCAAAGCUAAGUAAGGAAUGGCACAGAAAGGUAGAUACUAGAACUUAUGAAUAUAAGUGACACUCUACUUGCUAAACUGAAAGUGUGUAUAGGAAAAUGGGGCCAAUGGAGGGACAAAUGAGGAGAUAGUUCUCUGAUGGGGGAUGAGGGAAGCUCAGAAUAAAAAAAAAAUCUGAAUUAUUCUGUAGAGGUUCUGAUGUUUGCUGCCUGGCUAUUGGGUGGGGCAAGAUUCUCAAGAGAGGGCAGUGCUUGUGCAAAGGUUGUAGGUGCAUGAUGUGCUUGGAGAACUUCCGACAGGCUGGUGUGUCUUUUAUCCAGAGGACGUACAUAAUUGAGAGUGGCUAGACAUGAAGUUCAAGAGACAGUCAGAAACCAGAAGAUGAAGGGACCUAUUUGUUAUCCUACCUUGUUUGAGCUUUGUCUUAAACAGAUGAACAACUAUGAAAGACAUCAGAGCAGGAGGAUGGCAUGCUCAGCUUUGAGUUUGGAGAAGGAUGGACGGUCCUAGGAACACACCCUUUCUCUUUACCACUCCUGAAGGAAGAAGAAUAGUGUUCACAGGUUGUGUCGGCUGCAAAGCCACUGAUGAACUGGCUUAUUUUAGGUUUCUGAUAUUACACAUGAGAAAACAGACUUAGAAGCUCACAAGUGUGAGUAGCAUAAGCAGAGUAGGCAUCUCAGAUCCCAAGGUCUGUGCACCUUACUCAACUGUUAUGCUUGCCUAGCGUGAGCUUGUCAUUCUUGGAAUCCUCGUACAACUUUGAACUCUCUCAUGGUGUUUAUUUCAUUCUACUUGGAGUUAUUCGAAAUUCUUCUUCUUCUUAGCUGCAUAUUUUGGGGGAAGGGGCUAUGCCUCACUCAUGUUUUCUAAUCAUUUCUGUAUUCGGCACAUUUCCUUUUAGUAAUAGGCGCUCGACCUAUACCUAUUGAAUUCAUAAAUAAACAAAAAAUUGUAAAUAAAUAUAAAUGCCAUCACCCAUUAGCUGAGCAACUCAGCCCUCUACUACUUGGUAAUUAGUAAACAUCUUAAUGUGUAGAAAGGUAUACAUUUUAAAACCCUAUAUUGGCUAAAGGAGCCCUAAAUAAAGCCUCCCCUAUUCUGAGGCCACUGAUGUGCCACGUGGUAUGGGCACCUCGGGGGUCAAAAUAUCAGGAUGUUAAAUAAUAAAUACUCUAUUUAAAUGCAUUUAAUUCUUUAUCAGUUGCUGAAGUUCUAGAUAAUGGAACAAUUUUCUUUGGUCAAAUUUAUCACCGAGGUAAUUGCUGUCAGGUGUCUUGAGGAGAUAAUGUGCAUUAGCAUCACAGUUGAUUAUCCACCUUCCAGAAAGACAAAUCUUAGCAGAAACUUCACGAUGCAUUUAGUGCAAGAAAAUGCAGCAUUUAUAAAGGGUCUUGUAGAAGCCUCAGAAAAAAUCUUACCCUCGAAUCUGUUUUGAAGUAUUGUAUUUACUUUUGAUGGCAAGGACUCACAAGAGAUGUAGUUAUUCCUUCAGCCCAUGCUUGUCAAGGGCCUCUUCUGUGCUACACUCUGUGCUAAGUGAACAGACAGGUACUUGUCUUGCUUUCAUGGAGCUUGCUGUACAGAGCACGUUCACCGUCUAGUAUGUGGGAAGGGCCUUGGAUAAGAUGCUAAGAGAAUUAAAAACUUAAAU
RNAcentral lists this long non-coding RNA (4668 nucleotides) under Sus scrofa (pig). RNAcentral's name for it is "lncRNA (ENSSSCG00040010255.1)". The record is from RNAcentral. Lineage: Eukaryota; Metazoa; Chordata; Mammalia; Artiodactyla; Suidae.